AACGGUCUAUACCUGCGGUACCUGCGGAGGGAUCAUCACCGAGUUAUCAACUCCCAAACCCCUGUGAACAUACCCGAACGUUGCCUCGGCGGGACCGCCCCGGCGCCCCUAGCGGCCCGGAACCAGGCGCCCGCCGGAGGACCCAAACUCUUGCUUUAAACAGUGGCAUACUCUCUGAGUCUCACAAACAAAAAAUAAAUCAAAACUUUUAACAAUGGAUCUCUAGAUCGGAAGAGCACA
Molecule: unclassified non-coding RNA, 240 nt
Filed under: soil metagenome
Description: partial contains 5.8S ribosomal RNA, internal transcribed spacer 2, and large subunit ribosomal RNA
Source: RNAcentral